AGUCGAGCGGGGAAAGUAGCUUGCUACUUGACCUAGCGGCGGACAGGUGAGUAAUGCUUAGGAAUCUGCCUAUUAGUGGGGGACAACGUCUCGAAAGGGAUGCUAAUACCGCAUACGUCCUACGGGAGAAAGCAGGGGACCUUCGGGCCUUGCGCUAAUAGAUGAGCCUAAGUCGGAUUAGCUAGUUGGUGGGGUAAAGGCCUACCAAGGCGACGAUCUGUAGCGGGUCUGAGAGGAUGAUCCGCCACACUGGGACUGAGACACGGCCCAGACUCCUACGGGAGGCAGCAGUGGGGAAUAUUGGACAAUGGGGGGAACCCUGAUCCAGCCAUGCCGCGUGUGUGAAGAAGGCCUUUUGGUUGUAAAGCACUUUAAGCGAGGAGGAGGCUACCGAGAUUAAUACUCUUGGAUAGUGGACGUUACUCGCAGAAUAAGCACCGGCUAACUCUGUGCCAGCAGCCGCGGUAAUACAGAGGGUGCAAGCGUUAAUCGGAUUUACUGGGCGUAAAGCGCGCGUAGGUGGCCAAUUAAGUCAAAUGUGAAAUCCCCGAGCUUAACUUGGGAAUUGCAUUCGAUACUGGUUGGCUAGAGUAUGGGAGAGGAUGGUAGAAUUCCAGGUGUAGCGGUGAAAUGCGUAGAGAUCUGGAGGAAUACCGAUGGCGAAGGCAGCCAUCUGGCCUAAUACUGACACUGAGGUGCGAAAGCAUGGGGAGCAAACAGGAUUAGAUACCCUGGUAGUCCAUGCCGUAAACGAUGUCUACUAGCCGUUGGGGCCUUUGAGGCUUUAGUGGCGCAGCUAACGCGAUAAGUAGACCGCCUGGGGAGUACGGUCGCAAGACUNAAACUCAAAUGAAUUGACGGGGGCCCGCACAAGCGGUGGAGCAUGUGGUUUAAUUCNAUGCAACGCGAAGAANCUUACCUGNNCUUGACAUAGUAAGAACUUUCCAGA
This 949-nucleotide ribosomal RNA is filed under the name uncultured bacterium. RNAcentral's name for it is "bacterial SSU rRNA". It matches the Rfam family "Bacterial small subunit ribosomal RNA", at positions 60 to 1004 of the family's 1533-position model. The record is from RNAcentral.